CAAAGAGGAAAAAAUUUUUUUUCAUCAAGUGUAGAGGCGACAGCAAAAAUAUAUUCUAAUUUUAAUUCUUAAAUUUUACUCGAAUUUUUAACCAUUUAAAAUUUGUAAUUAAUUGUUAAUAAUUAACGCAAAUUCUUUUUUAUUGUCUGUCGCAUUAUUUGCUUGCACAUUUUGAGGCCCACUGCAUAAGAAAUAAAUAAAUCUUUGAAUAAUUUUUUUCUUUCUGUCUUUGACAUCAAAAUCAAUUGACGUGAAAAUCAGUUCACAGCGCUUUACGACGAGUGUAGAGGAGAAAACACGUUCCAGUAUUCCACAGCCGUCUAAAGUUUAUACUUUUUCUCGGCUGAGGAAUGACAAGAAAAGAAGGUGUAGCUGCUAUUAACCUUCGUUGAAAAGAAGAAGAAUUUAAUUAAAUUCCGAAAAAAAUAUUCAAAGAUUAAUAGAAAAGUUGCAAACAGAAAAUUUCCAAGGGGCCUCAGCGGAACGUCAACGGGAAAAGGGCGGCACUCGGCCACCCUAAUUACAAUAUUCAAUCGCACCAGGGCCUAUUAAGAAAUUUUGCAAAUCUCAAAAGGAAACAAUUGCAUUAAAUUAAAAACUUGUCUGAAAAUUUGGAUAUUCAAUUAGACGGAAUACAACAACGUAAAAAGGAAAGGAAAUUGUGGCGUAAACUUUGCAUUGAUGGUAAUGCAUGCUAGAAAACCGCAACGCAUGAACGAUGGCUACUUUGAGAAGCAUCAAUCUCAUUCGUAUCAGACAAACAGGCUGAAUUAGGAUAAAACCAAAAGCAUACUGCAACUGCUCCUACUCCUAGCUCCUAAUAGCAAUCACUUCAUUUGUUGUUUGUUGUUGUUUGUAGUCAUCAAAAGUUUUGUUUAUUGUAUUGUUGUAAAAAAAAAAAUGUCAUCAUUUCAUCAAAGUUAAACAAACACUACUACUCGAACUAACCAAAAUUAACCAAAGAUAACAAAUACGAAGCGCCCCAUCAACUAAAUAACAAACGAAAGAAAAAGACACAAAUUCUAAAAACGAGCGGGUGCCUCGAAAACCCACUCCCGUACAGUUUAUGUCUGCCACAAAUAGCAUUGCACUUGAUAUCACAACAACACUGGCAGCUGAGUGUAAUAAAAAUGCUGCUGCUGUCGGACUGUGUCGCAUCGUAGAUAGUUCCAAGUACAGUUCAAAACGAGAUUAUGAACGUGAUCGCUCAUCGAAUUAUCGCGAACGCGACCUUUCCCCGGCUGGCGGUGGUGGACCAUUAAAUAAUGGUAAUAGUUCAUCGUAUCGUUCACAGUCACCUGAAAUAGAUUCACCAUCAUCCAGAGGUCACGGUGGUUCACACGAUAUUAGAGAUCGUGGUGAUCAUCGAGGUGGUGGCGAUCGUUUCAGUUACAUACAAAAAAUGAGAGAUCGCGAACGCGAUAUUUAUAAAAAGGAUAAAUAUUCAGACAAACGCGAUCGUCGAGGUGGUGAUCGUGAUUCUGAAUCCCAUCGCACUAAUCAUGACAGGAUUGAUAGACGUGGUGGCGCCAGUGGUGGCAGUGGUAGCGGAGCCAAGCUCUGUUCUUCCGGCAGUAGUGGCGAUAAACGUUCUGGCUCCGAUGACCGCGACCGUGAACGAGAACGUGAUCGUGACAGAGAUCGUGAUCUAAGAGACAGCAAACGUGAAAGAGAUUCUUUAAGAGAACGUGAUCGUGAACGAGAUCGUGAAAGGGAUCGUGAUAGAGAUCGUAGUAAUCGUGGUGGAGAUGAUCGUGAAAGAGAUCGUGGUGGCGGCGGUGGUGGAGGCAGUGGCGAACGUAAUGAUCGUGGUGAACGUAUUGCCAGAUGUGGUGAUUGGAGUGAACAUGUUAGUUCAUCGGGAAAAAUGUAUUAUUAUAAUUGUAAAACAGAAGUCUCACAGUGGGAGAAACCAAAGGAAUGGGUUGAACGUGAGCGUAAUCUGGCGCGUGAUCAACACCGUGAAAAGGAUUAUCGUGACAAAGAACGCGAUAGAGAUCGCGAAGAACGCUUUUCCAGAUCAACAUACAAACAUUCCAGUUCUCGUGGCAAUUCUCGACUGAGGUGGAACUAUGAUAAUGAUAGCGGACCACCAAAUCACAGAAGGCGUAUAGAUGCUCGCUUAGCUGAUAAUGCCGAUAUGGACAUUAGUCCAGGCGAUUCUACGCCCACAUCUGAGGCCAGUUAUUCACUGACUGGCACACCAACAACCCAUGGCGGUGGCAAUCAACACAACGACCAAGCAUUGCCGUCAACAACAGUGGGUUUGCCUAAUGCGUUGCCACGCUUAGCUUCACAUCCCAAUGCCUCUAGUAAUAUGACCUCUUCCUCUGUCAAUGCCACAACACCAAGUGUAGCGUCAUCAUCUAUGCACUAUGCCGUGACGUGUGCUAAUCCCGCCGCUAGUGCCGUAGGUGGUUCAGGAGUUGUUGCCGGUGGUGCAACGAUGUUGCCCACAACUGGUCUUGCUUCGUCGAAUAUGCCAGCGGUAUCAACACAAGGUGUUUUGCCCAACAGCGGCAGCAGUAAUCAUAGAAAAUUAGAUGCGGUAACGUCGUUACAACAUCAAUCACACAUGAUAGGAUCGCCCAAUUCCACUAUACCAUCGUCAUCGAAUCAAGGGGAUCAUCAUCUCAAUUCAAAUGCACCUGGUCCCCCAAAAAUGAGUUCUAAAGAUCCUACACAUUUAAUGCGCCAACAACAGCAUCAUCAUCAUUUAAAUACACAAGAUGGUCAUCUCAUUUCCUCGUCAGCUGGUGAUAAUCAUGCUGCCGCUGGACAGGUUAUGAAUUUAAGGGAAAAUGCUUUGAAUUCACCUUUAUACAAUUUAACGCAUUCUCAUGGCAUGUCUCCCAUGGGUUAUAGUAAAAGUCCCAUAACAUCGUCUGCCCCGGGUAGCAGUAGCGGUGCUGUUUCUAUGACUAUGACACAUGCAAAUAAUGUGGGCAGUGGAGGUAGUGUUAAUAUGGUCUCCUCAUAUUCCUGCACUAAUCCCUAUGGACUUAAGACUGUCGAUGGUGGCGUCAAUAGCAAUGUUGGCAUUAAUUCUCUCAAUGCUGCUGGGGGAAUUGUUAGUGUUGGUGGCAACAAUGCUUUAUGUUCCUCAUCGAGUUUAUCUGUUACUCCCAAUAUUAAUAUAAGCGGUGCAAUUGGUAGCGGUAGUAGCGUUGGCGGCAGCAGCAGUAGCAUGGGAGUAAUACCCGGUGAGGGCCCACCGACUCCUACACAGGAAUUAGAUUUAAGUGGUAAUUCAUCAUUAGAACAACAACAAAGAAAAUUGGAUGGUACAUCGUCGGCUUCUUUAAGUACGCUACAAAGUUGUGUUUCCAAUUCAAUACAAGCUGGUCGCUCGCAAGGUCCCGAAAUCUCUACAAAACUUAGCAAGUAUUUUAGAGCCGAUUUAAUAACACACGUUACCAAUUGGGCAGCAGAUCAAUUAGAAAAACAGACGCAAAAAUGUUCAGAAGAAGCACAUUUAUAUGGAGAUUUACAGUGUACAAAAGUGUCGGCUGAAUUGAAAUGUGCGAGGAGUUUAGUUAGAAUAACUGAAAUAACAGCCACACUGCAAGAACAAAAGAUCAUGUAUUUGCGCCAACAAAUACGUCGAAUAGAAGAAUCAAAAUCACAAAAUUCAUUCAUGUCCGAUGAUCUUUAGCCAAUUACUUUUAGAGCAAUCUAAGGCGUAAUAAUAGAGAGAUUCUGUUUAAACAAAAAGUAAAAUAAUGAAACAAAAAAAGAAAUGCUAAAUGCAAUGUGCCCCAUAUAAUGUUUUGAGUUUUUUACACCUUGUAGAUAAAAAACAAAAACAACAAAAAAAAGUACGCAAAAAAAGGAAAAAACAUACAACAUUAAUAAA
RNA transcript from Lucilia sericata (common green bottle fly), 3856 nucleotides. It is a transcript of the gene named WW domain-containing adapter protein with coiled-coil homolog, with no coding region annotated. NCBI's taxonomy places the organism in Eukaryota, Metazoa, Arthropoda, Insecta, Diptera, Calliphoridae. The record is from RefSeq and is a predicted model, not a curated record. The transcript is spliced from 15 exons.